RNAcentral lists this long non-coding RNA (18258 nucleotides) under Lathyrus oleraceus (garden pea). Its description in RNAcentral is "Pisum sativum (pea) long non-coding RNA (PSAT_LNC033285)". Lineage: Eukaryota; Viridiplantae; Streptophyta; Magnoliopsida; Fabales; Fabaceae. The record is from RNAcentral.
UAUAGGUUGUUCCCUUGAACCACUUUAUUUUACUCUCACCAUGAACUUUAUAUUUUAUGUUGAUUCCUUAGUAGUAUAUUUGUCAUACCCUAAUUUCUCACCCUAAGAUCCCAUAUAUUAUUUGCAUCCUUUCAUACAAACAAGACCACAUAUUUGUCCUCUCCCUCUCAUCUUUGAGUUUGCCUUUUGCAGAGAUCAUCAAACACCUAUUUGUUGGUAUUUUACCUUUGUGUUUAUAUGUUUAUUUCUUAUCUAACCACUAACCAAAAGAGCAAAUAUAUGUUUUAUUUUCUUUAAGAUUAUUGUAUAAGGUAGAGUUUUUCAUCAAGAGUAUCAAGCAUGGUUCCUCAGCUAGGUUUUCUUUGAUUCCUCAAGUCAAAGUGUGUUAACCAUUGAUUAUCAAGGGUAUGUCUCUCAAUACGUGAUCUCUAAGGUCCUCAAGCAUGUUUUAAUCUCAUUUUGAUCAAGAGUAUCUCAAUGCUUUGUUGCUUACUUCUCAAGAAAAGUCAAAGGUUCAUGUGUUUAUUUCCAUGCCUUCUUCAAUAAGUUACCUUAAACUUUGAGCAAUUUGAUUAAAAUACAUUCAAGUACACAUUAUUUUGAUUUCAUAUGAUCAUGCAUGUACCUUUAAAUGCAAGGAAAGUCCAAGUGCACAAGUUUAUUCCAAGAGGUUUGACCAAAAAAGUCAACAAUUGAAGUCAAAGUUCAAAGGAUCACAACUCCUUCAAUUCUCAGAAUUUUUGAAUGAUUCUUUUUUUCAUAUUAUUUUUCUCAAUAUACUCUAUAACUUCUCUUUACAUGACAAGGUCCAAUUAUGCAUAGAGGAUCAUCAAAAGUUUGGAGACAUUAUAGGUCAUUUGUGGACUUAGUGAAAUUUGACCUAUUUUCAAGUGACUUUUCUACACUUUCAAGGAUUAUAACUUCUUAGAUUUUCAAUAUUUGAGGCUGAUUAUUUUUUCACAAUAUCAUUUGUGAUGCACUCUACAACUUUUCUUCAAGGAUCAAAGUCAAAUUAUGCUUGGAAGGCCAUGGAUCCUUUGAGACAUUAUAGGUCAUUUUCAGUCAUUUGGGACUUAGAAUUUUCUAAGUUACAUUACCAGAUUUUCGAUCCAAUUUCAACAAGCCAUAACUUUAUGCUCAAGCAUCCAAAUGUAACCUUUCUUGGCAUAUUGUAAUCUUUGAUAUGAUGUCAACAAAUUUCAAGAAGAAUGGGAUCAAAAAGCCUUAUGAGCAAGAUGUCCCAUUGAGUUAAGCAUGGUGACUUGGAACUGAAGAAAUCACCAUGAUCAAAAAUUUGAACUUCACUAAUCUCAAUUACAAGCCAAAUUACCACGUGUUUUGGACCUAAGCAUGUUUGAUCAAGUCUCUGAAAGUUAAUUUACUCAUAAAACACAUGGUUUGGCCGAGUUUUGAUGGUUUACAAGUCACACUUUUCACACAUCAUGAGCAAACUCAUUUUGCAUGAAUUGAGCAUCAUUUGGCAUGUAUGAGAUCACCAAUUGCUUCCCUAUAAAUAGAGCAACAUGAUUGAUUCAUGAUCAGUCAUCAUUUAUAAUAAGUUUUCAUUACUGAUCCGACGCAAAACAGAGACAUUUGAUACACUGUGCAAGCAUUUAAGGUACAAUUCGAGUUAGUUUCAUUUCCGUUAUUUUAUUUAUGCAUUUUUAAUCUUUGUUAUGUUUUACCUUUUAUUAUCGUGAUUUUAUGCGUGGGAUAGCUGUGUUUAUGUCCAAUAGAUCCAGGUAGAAGAACCGGAGAACUCAGAAGAAGACAAUGCGAGAUUCCGACACACAAAGGAGCCAGAAAACUCCGGUAUAGGAGGCCUGACACGGCCACCCAUGUCACCUGACACGGGCCGUGUCAGGGCAAGGGAAGCAAAGGAAGGAAAACAGUAGCCUGACACGGCCACCCGUGUCAGCUGACACGGGCCGUGUCAGGCAGAAACCCCCCGUGUUAGGCUUGCCAUGGGCGUGUCAGGAGAAUCAGUAGGCUGACACGGGCCGUGUCAGCCCAAGCCCAAAAUUUCCAGUUUUCUCGGGCUUUUCAUUCUGUGGGCUUUUUGGAUACAUCUUUGGACCUGUCCAACUGCUGCUGGGAACUUUCACUAUAAAAAGAGGUCUUCUGCCAAAGGAAAAAUCAUCUUGGAAGACAGCAAAACAUAGUAUUGUGAAGCAAUCAAGUAUUAUAGAGAUCAAGGCAUUUGGAGAGCUGAAGAGAUUCAUGAGCGGGAGCGAUUGAAGAUCAAAGUCAUCCAAUUACUUGUAAUGUGUAAUUUUUAUCUUGACUUGUUUUAAACAAUAUGAGUAGCUAAAUCCCCCAAUGCUAGGGGGUGUCCCUGAUUAUAAUUGUAAUGAAUUUGAGUUUACAUUUGCAUUUAUAAUAUUUUGUUUACGGUAACCUUUUGAUGUGUUUAUUUCUUUCUCUUUCGGACCAAUUGAGAUUGAUUUAUGGUUAUCACUUAGGCUGGACCGCCAGUGAUAAGGUUUUCAUCAGGUUACUCUGCAGUAGAUAUCACCUGGACAGGAUACCCUGUAUGAACCAGAGCAUUCUUGAUAUUAUACAGCUUAACUUCACCCUAAUUGGCUAUGGACAUAGGAAUUAGGGUAGAUUCAUUAAAUGUUUUUCACCAAGGACUUGGGAGAAAAUACCCUUGAGAACUGGUAGUAAUUGAUAUUUGUUGAUGCAAUAGUAACUCAGAGUUGUUACAGGGGUAAAUCAUACACCUUCCCUGUCAUUGUUCCUUUUUCUCUAUAAACCCUUAUUUCUUUACCUUUAUUUUUAUUAUUUUCACACUAAAAAACAAAAUUAAUAUUUUUUGGUUUAAUUGAAUGAUAAUUUAAACUCAAUACUAACGUGCAGUCCUUGAGAUCGACAUUCGGGGAAUUUCCCCAUUAUUACUAUAAAAGGCAAAAUAGUACACUUGCUAUUUUCCCGAUCAAUUCAUUCCCAAGCUUUUGAGAGCCAAAGAACCCAUGUUUCACUCUGAAAUGUUUCUAGAAAAUUGAGCUAUCGUGUUUUAAUUUUCAGCUUGUUUCAAUCCAAUUUUCUGAUUCUAUUAGCACUUCGACCUUCUCUGAAGCUUUUGUAACAAUUCCCAAGCUCUAAGACCUUUUGAAGUUCCCUGACCAGAUCGAGCUUCAUCAACUUCUGAUCACCAUUUGGACAAGGUAGUUUUGAGCAUAAUUUGAACUCAAACAAGUUACCAGAAUGUAGUCAUUCUCUUUCUGAUGCUUUCCCCUAACUUAUCUAGUGUUGAUUGAUUGUGUUCAUCAUUUAAUUUAAUUUUUCGUGGCUUGCUUGUUUCUGAAACUUCUAUGAUAUUCUCCAUGCUCAGUUUAGAUAAAUGAAUUUUGAGUAUGAGGUUGAAUUCGUGAUGAGGAGGUGUCACAUUGAUGGUAGUCUCAUGCUAUAAAUUUGCAAAAUGAUGAAACUCUGAUGAGGGAUCAUUGAAGAAGAUGAUCGGAGUUAUCUCAAGUCAUCUGAGUUUGCUUACACAUUUGCACUUUUAAAUGUUCUGAUUGGUCCAUUUUGAAUUCAACCCCGUGUUUCAUUUUGGCUAAUUUCGAUUGUGCGUCCUAGCCUCAAGAUUGUUAGAUCUGCCACGUCAAUUAAUGAGGCCAGAUCCAACGCUCUGUAUUUUUUUAUGAUUUUAUUUAUUUUUCUUUUUUCAUUUUAAAUUGCACUUUCUUUAAAAAGUUAUAGUAAACUCAUUUUUCAUCCAAAAACUCCCUUAAUAAUUUCUAAAAUUCUCUUUUAUUUUUAUUCAUCUGAUUUUUAUUUUUUCACAUUUUAUUUUCUUGAUUUUAUAUUUUUCUUGAAUUUCCUCUUUUUUCCUUUGUUUUAAUUGGUUUAAAAAUACUUUUAGGCAUUUAAAAUUUCUGAAAAAAUUAUUUUAUGUUUCUUAUUUUAUUUCCAAGCUUCUAUAAUAUUCUUGGCCAUUUAUUUGUUAUUUUGAAUGACUUUAUGAAUUUUCUCUUUUAUUUCCCUUUUAAAAAUCAUUUUAAAAAUCAUUUUAAAAAUAUUUUUAAUGCAUUUUAUUUUAUUUUCUUGUAUUUUAUACUUGUUUCACCUUUGUUGACUUCUGUUGGCCUUGGAUCUUAGAUAUUUUAAUCAUAGGUCUCACCAAACUCAAUGAAUCUCUGGUGUUAAUGGGGUGAAAAUCCCAAUCCACCAAAAUGGAUGAUUGAUUUUGAUGAUGACUUGAUCAAGCCUUUGAUCCAAUUUGGAUUUGGUUUCUCUUGUCUUCUUCUUCUUCAUCUCUUUAUCUUUCCUUUUUCUUUUGAGCAAUUGGAUGGUUUGUGUCCAUCUUGUUCAUGAUAUGUGGAUUAGUGUUUGAUGAACUUUCAUCAUUUUAAAUCUACCUCUUAAUUGAUCAUGGAUCAUUUAAGGUACUUUAGAUUGAUGCAUAAGUUUGUCCUAAGUAUCAUGAAAAAUUGAUUGAUGUAAUCGACCACUCUCCUAGCCUUUGUGCUUUAUCUACCUUUUUUUUGUGUCAUAGAUUAAGGAGAAUGAUUUACAUAUCAUUUUUCUAGCAUGCAUUAACACAAAUAUUAUUAUUGACCGACCUCAGAUAGUUGUGACUUCUACAUAAGUUCAAUUAUAUUUGCUUAAUAUAACGCAAAAUGUUUCCCGAAUUUGAAAGCAAGUCAUUUUCAUAAGUGAGAUUGUAAGUCUCCUACUUCUCAUAGUAUUGUGUGAAAAAUAUUUUUUCCUUUUCACCUAAGAGAGCUAGUGGCAUACUUGUUGAUUUUAUCCAAAUUGGAGCCCUUAUCAUGGUGAUAUAGAGAUCCAUAUUUUCAUGCUUGUGGGUGAAUAGUUGAGUGUUCUCCCAAAAAUGAUAAAUUGUCUUUCCCUUUUUUUUAUUACUAACACCGCUUACUUACAUUUUGUUGUAUUAAUUUUACUUUAAUGUCAUUUAUCUUAUGCUUUUAUUUUCUUACUAUUUACUUUAUGCUUUUAUUCUAGCAUCUCAUAUCAUUUGUUUGUGCUCAUGUUAUUUGUUAUUUGUCCACUUGGACCUUUGUUUAUGUUUAUGCUCUUUUUCCUUUGUCCAUUUGGACCUCUUUUUCUUUUAAAGACAUUAAUAAAGGAAAAAUCUCUCUAAAAAUUUGGUUCUCUUGAUUCAUGGACUUGAGGUUACUAUCCUUAGCAUUGUUGUGGAGUUAUGGACUUAGAAGUAGGAUCUUGACCUUUGCUUUGGGAGUUUAUGAUUUGAGGCCUUAGGAUUCAUCUGGUACCUUUGACUUUGGGAUUUUUUUGAAGACUUGGCUUGAUUAUUUUGGUUUCAUCUGACACAUGGAUUAUUCUUUACUUAUUUGGCUUAUUUGAGGCUUAAUCCAAAUGAGGGAAUUCUUGCUUGACUCAGGUCAUAAAGCUUCCUAUCUCUUGGUUAGAUAUUUCAUCCCUAGAUUUUAAUUUAUGUUCUAGGAUAGUAUCUCCAUCUUCUCCCCUUCUUUAAUUUUAAAAAAUCUUCUCUUUUCUUUUCAAAAACCUUCUUGUUGCCAAACUUGAACCACUUUCUCAAUAAAACUUGACUUUUGUCAAGUGAUUUUCAAAAUCUUUUCUUAAUAAAGGCUAACACAUCUUAAUCAUAUUUAAACAAAUUUAAAAAGACUAAAAAAUACACAAUUCAUUCAAACUACUUUAUGCCCUUUGUGCACUUUUUCUUUUAAAACUUUUCUCAAAGUUGAGACAUGGGUCAUUUUCAUAAUUGAUAUGUUAUUCUCUUAUCCCCAUGGUAUUGAUGAUAAUUAUUUUCCACCCAAGAGAGUUAGUGGCAUACUUAUUUAUCUUUAUCCAAGUUGGAGUCAUUCUUUGUGAUGAUGCAAAGUUCUCAUACUUGUGGGUGACUAGUUUAGUAUUCUCCUUAAAAUGACAAAAUGUCUUUUCAUUAAGAAUGAAUCAAAACAAACACCUUUUUUAUAUUUACCACGAACUACGAGGUUUUGAUCCCCAAUUUCACUUUGUUGGUACGUAGGCAUGAGACUCGAGAAGUCUUGGCAAACACAAAAAUUAUAAAAAAACAUAUCUCUUCUCACCUUCCUAAUCUUUUGCAAACAACACCAUUUUAAAAACCAAAAUGCACAUAUUUUCAAAGAGGUUCCUAUAGAGUACUAUAGAUGUUUAUGGUGCUAAUAUAUUCCCUUUGCAUAACUAACUCCCGGACCCUUAUCUCUUUUUAUUAGUUUUGUUUUAAAACUUCUUUGGGUUUUGUUCGUUCUUUUUCCUUUCCUUUGAAAAUAAUAAAAGUGUGAUGGAGACUCUUUCUUUGUGAGUUGAGUUAGUCAAUAGCUUAAUCUCAUAAAUUUUUACUGCUGCAGUAAAGUGGCGACUUUGCUGGGGAUUAGUCCCUAGUGGGUUUAGCCCAUCCUUAUUUAUCUGUGUAUGUUAUGUUUGUUGUUGUUUGUUAUUGUUUGUUUUGUCUGGUGCUUGGUGAUCUAUGUGUGGUGAGAUAAGUCCUAUACCCGGGCUUGAGUGCUCUUAUGAUAGGAGGGUGGUAUAAUCUUAUUUGGCUUACGUGGAGUUAAUCCUUAAUGAGCUGACUUGAGAUCCCCCGCUCAGUGGAGGCCCCUCUGGGAUUACUGAUGUCUUACGAGUAGUCAUAAUUGGUAUUACUUUUUCCGACCUGGGAGCCCGAGAAGCUGAGGACCUUAGAACCCUUAACUCAUCUUGGCCUUUUAGGAUGUAGUGUGGUGGCUAUUCAGGUGUAGACUUGAAUUAGUUGUUACACGAUACUACACUCAGACGAGUUUCUCUUGAGACUAUUAUUGGUUGGCGAGUAGUCGUUUAAGUCGGUAAUAUCCAAAAAUGGAAUUAUGACUCUAGAAACUUUUUAGAACCUUAUUCUACAGGUGAUUAUACCCUUAGUACAUACCUUGUGGGUUGGUUGUUACCUUUGGAUCUAUGCUCAUGACUCCGAACCUUUGGACCUUAUUUGUGUGCCUUGUGUGAUCUUGUUUGUGGUUAUUGCAUCAUGCAUUCAUUGCAUUCAUGAGCAUUUUUCUCAAUUUUCAAGGAACUUAGAGAUUCUCUUUGCAAACAUCGUAGAUAUUUUGACCAUGGAUAUUGGAAGAAGGAAUACUCGGAAAUACAGUUUCAAAUGUUCUGAUCUUAAGGAAUUGAGAAAUCUAGCAUCUUUUGUGGAUGAUCUUAAGGAUUUCAGAGACCGUUUUGGAAUACUUUUGUUUCUUCUAUCUACUGAUGUUGAAGAUGGUCUUCUUUGUACUCUGGUUCAGUUCUAGUAUCCUGUCUACCAGUGCUUCACUUUCCCUGAUUAUCAAUUAUUGCCUACCAUGGAGGAGUAUGCUUAUCUCUUGGGUAUAUCAGUCUCUGAUAAGGUUCCUUUUUGGUUUGGAAGGGACUCUGGAGUCUCAAGUUAUUGUUGGAUCUAUUCAUUUGAAUAAAUCUGACAUAGAUGUUAAUCUCACUUUCAAAGGAGGUAUCAGAGGGUUGACUUCAAAUUUUUCUGAUUGAGAGAGCUUCUUCUUUUGCUAAUGUUGGUAGCAUGGUGGACUUUGAAACUAUUCUUGCCUUACUCAUCUAUGGUUUAGUCUUGUUUCCCAACAUUGACAAUUUUGUUGAUGUUAAUGCUAUUAAGAUCUUUUUGGUCGGAAAUCCUGUUCCAAUUUUGCUUGGUGAAACCUAUUUCUCCAUUCAUCAUAGGACUUCUAAAGGAAAUGGAACUAUUGUCUAUUGUGCACCUUUGUUGUACAAGUGGUUUAUUUUACACUUGCCACAAUCUCCUAUCUUCAAAGAAAAUAACAGUUGUUUAAGGUGGUCUCAAAGACUAAUGUCUCUUACCAAUGAUGACGUCACUUGGUAUUCUUCUAUUUACGAUAAUGUCGAGAUUAUUGAUAGUUGUGGGGAGUUCUCCAAUGUGCCUCUUCUUGGAACACAAUGAGGAAUAACCUACAAUCCGGUUUUGGCAAGACGCCAACUUGGGUUCGCUAUGAAGGACAAACCUAAUAACACUUUGUUAGAAGGUUUAUUUUUCCAAGAAUGGAAAAACACUCAAGGAUUGAAGGCUAGGAUGGUGCAUGCUUGGCACAAUACUCAUAUGAAAGGAAAAGUGAGUUUGGAUUGAAGAAUUGUGUAACUUUGGAGCCUCACACUAGUUGGGUAAAGAGGAGAGCAAAAUAAUUCAAGAUGCCUUACGUUAUGAGAGAUCUAUGUCUAUAGUAGUGGUCGAAUCACCCAUUAUUCAUAUUAAAGGCAUAGAGGAGUUGCAAGAAGCUUUAGAUAGGAUGGAGCAAGAGAAGGAUGCUUGGAAAGACAAGUUUCACGCUUCAAACCUCGAGAAGAUAUAAUUGUAUAAGCAUUUAAAGGAAAAGGAUGACUUGAUAGAGUUGCUUGAGCAACGUGUUAUGAAGAGGUCAAGGAACCAAGAGGAUUUAUUUUUCUCUAUCAUUUCAUCAUCUACUCAUCUUCCUACUUCAAGUGUUUGGAAAGGCAUUAUAGAUCAUCUCGUGAUGGAGAAAGAUGCCAUGAAAAACAACUAUGAAAUAGAUAUCAAAAGACUUUGCAAGAAGUAUCAAUUUGAAUUGGGUUGUCAUCAGAUAUGAUUCCAUAGAUCUAAUUUCUUUCCUCUUACGUUUUAAGAUUAUUGAGAUUGUAUUUCAGAUUGUAACUCUUCCCAUUAUUAAUAAAAUGAUAUUUUCAGUAUUUCAAAAUGUGUUAUUUCCUUUAUGAUGUUUGCAAUUUGCUUUAUAUCUUAAAGUUCCUUGAAAACUUUGCAUUUUCAUUUGCAUAUCAAGCAUCAUGUUGCAUAUUGGUCUUGCUUUAUGUGAGUUUGCCAGAUGUCUUAUUUCUUCCUUUUCUUCGUCUUCAUUUAGACAAGUUGUCUCAGCGGUACAACACUCACGCUAAUCAACAAAAGAAUAUGGACCGUUUAGAAUAAGAGAAUCACGAACUCUGUGAGGAAGUGAAUACUUUGAGGGAAAGUUUGGAAAGGCUUUUCGCUAUGAUGGAAGCUUUGGAAGCUGCUCAGAAUCAGCCUCUUCCUCUUCCUCCUCCUCCUCAGACUCCGCUUCAGAGGAAUGUGAUUUCUGAAAUCACCUAUGCGCCCAUUUAUGUGGCUCCGGUCAGUGAUCCACAACACCAAAUGCCUCCUGGUUUCCCUUGGGGUAUGCCUCAUAACUUUGUUCCAGAAGGAUAUCAACCAGCUAUUGAAGUUCCUGUUGCUCAACCUGUUAUGUAUGCACCACCUCUUAUGGUCCAUGUUGCUCCUUAUAUGGAAAAACCUGUUUUCUAUGCUGAUCAGAUUGAAAGUGUUGGUAUCUAUGAAAGGAUGGAUGAAUUUCAAGAUUGGUUUCAAGCAAUGCAGAAAGAGAUUCAAGCUCUGAGGGGAAAAUAAUUAUUUGGAAAGAAUGCUUAUGAUCUUUGCUUAGUUCUGAAUGUGAAGAUCCCUCACAAGUUCAAAGUUCCAGAUUUCGAGAAAUAUAAGGGUAACUUUUCUCCUUUGAAGCAUUCGGUGAUGUAUGCUCGCAAGAUAUCAACUCAAACUAAUAACCAUCAACUAUUGAUUCAUUACUUUCAAGAUAGUUUGAUUGGUGCUGCUUUGAAGUGAUACAUGGGACUUGAUAACAUCCAGAUCCGUACCUUCAAUGAUCUAGGUGAAGCUUUUGUUCUUCAAUACAAGUAUAAUGUUAACAUCGCGACGGACCGAGAUCAACUCAGUGUUAUGUACCAAAAGGAUAAGGAGACUUUCAAAGAGUGCGUGUAGAGAAGACGUGAGAUUGAUGUAUAAGUUAGUCCUCCGUUUGAAGAGAAAGAGAUGACAAAGAUAUUUUUAAAGACUUUGAGUCUGUUUUACUAUGACAUAAUGGUUGCAAGUGCUCCCAGUGAUUUUACCGAUAUGGUAAACAUGGGGAUGAGACUAUAAGAGGGUGUCCAUAAGGGAAGAUUGAAAGAGAGUGGUUCGUCUGACAGUUCCAGGAAGUAUUAGAAUGGUUUAUCCAAAAAGAAGGAAUAUGAUGCUAAUGAUAUUUCACAAGAUAAGCAUAGGAGAUCUCCGAAAAGCAAUCAACGUCAUCAGCAUGUGGCGUCAGUUACCCCGGUUACUAAUCCUGCUCUAGUUGUUCAAGUAGCACCAAAUUAUCAACCAUAUUUUCAACAACGUACUCAUCAACAGAAUCAACAGAACCGUGUCCCAAGACAAGCGUAAUUUGAUCCAAUUCUGAUGUCCUAUGCGUAAUUGUUUCCUGCUUUGAUACAAAAGAAUUUGGUAUAAAUUAGAACUCCGUCGGCUAUUCCAAAGGAACUUCUGUGGUGGUAUAAAUCUGAUCAUCAUUAUGCUUUCCAUCAAGGUGCACCUGGUCACGACAUCAAAAACUGUUUUUCUUUGAAAGUUGAAGUGAGAAAACUAAUGCAAAGCGGUAUUUUGUAUUUUGAAGACUCUGGUCCUAAUGUGCAAGCCAAUCAAUUGCCUAAACAUGGUGGUGCAACUGUGAAUAUGGUUGAGGGAUAUCCUAUAAAGUAACAUGUCUUUGAUGUCAAUCUGAUUAGAAGAUCCUUGGUCAAGAUGCAUGUAACUUUGUGCAAGCUGAGUCAUUAUAAGCCCAAUCAUGUUUCUUGUCGUAUCUGUUCAAGAACCCCUCGAGGGUGUGUUGUGGUGAAGAGAUAUUUACAAGAGAUGUUGGAUGAAAAUCUUAUUAAGAUUAACAGAGAUAGGGAUGAAGACGAGCAUGGUAUGAAUGUCAUAGUUCCCCAUUUCAAUAUCCCCGAACCAAUUGUGAUUCCCUAUAAUAGUCAAAAGUAUGUCAUUUCUCCUUUGGUUAUUCGUAUAGUGGGUCCUACACCCUAUGAAUCUGACAGAGUUAUUCCUUACAAAUAUAAUGUUACAAUGUUGGAAGAUGUAAAGGAAGUUCACAUCCCUUCACUUUCUUUUGUUGUGAAUAUUACUGAUGUGAGUGGUGUAACCCGAAGUGGUUGAGUAUUUGCUUAUGUGGUUCCUAAAAGAAUUGAAGAUACUUAGGUGAGUAAGAAAGCUCUGGUGGAAACUCCAGUUGUGCAUUCUGGCCAGUCCAGUGGUAUAAACUAGAAAUCUAAUCAUGAUGAAGUACCAAAGUUGAUUAAGAGAAAUGAAUUUAAUGUGGCCAAUCAAUUAUUGCAUACCCCGUUCAAAAUAUUUGUCUUAUCUUUGCUGAUGAAUUUAGAAGCUCACUGACAGGCUUUGCAGAAGCUCUUGGAGCAAGCUUAUGUGGACCAUGAUGUAACAAUUGGUCUGUUUGAUGGCAUUAUGGCCAACAUUACUGCGUAUAACAACCUGAGCUUUAGUGAUGAAGAAUUGCCUCUUAUCAACGUGUUGUGAUGAGGUUUAGUGAGGUUGUUGCGAUGAAUUAUCAAGAAGAUGCUUUGUCCAAUGUGUUGGUUGACAUUGGCUCUUCUUUGAAUGUUAUGUCAAAGUCGACUUUGUACAAGCUCUCUUAUCAACGUGUUGUGAUGAGGUUUAGUGAGGUUGUUGCGAAAGCCUUUGACAGCUCGAGAAAGACUGUGAUUUAAGAAGUUGAUCUCCCGUUGAAGAUAUGUCUAUGCUUAUUUAAAAUUAUGUUUUAAGUUACGGACAUCCAUCACGUCUAUGGUUGUCUCCUAGGUUGUCUAUGGAUUCACAAAGUUGGGGCAGUAACGUCAACUCUCCAUCAAAAGUUGAAGUUUGUGAAUAACGGAAAGUUAGUAAUUGUGGGUGGCGAACAUGUCAUAUUGGUAAGUCAUCUUUCUUCAUUCUCGUAUAUUGAUGUUGACGAAGCUGUGGGAACUUCGUUCCAAGUUUUUCUGUUGUUGAUAAUGUUGCUAAGAAGAAUGGGGAAUCCAUGACUUCUUUGAAAGACGCCUAACAAGUUGUGGAGAAUGGUUAAUCUUUUGGAUGGGAUCAAGUUGUUAAACUUGCCGAGAACAAAAAUAGAGUUGGUUUACGUUUCUUGCCUGGUUCAACCUGUAGAGAUUUUAAGCGUAUCCAAGACGUUUUUCACAGUGCUGGCUUUAUCCAUUCCAAAGAUCAAUCUGCUGUUGCGAUCCUGGAAGAUGAUCAAGAACAAGAAGCACCAAACUUUGUGACGCACGGAUUGAUGUGCCAAAAUUGAACUGUUGUUGACGUUCCUUCUAUUGUUCACUUGUCAAACUAAUAUGUUUUUGUUAUUUUCAAAAAUAUUUUCACUAUGCCCAAGGUGAAAGUGAAUUUAUGUGAGCUUUAUUUCAGACUUUAUCAUCAUUAAUAAAAUAUCAUUUUAUUUAUCCAUAUUAUGUUUUCUCUUUUUGCUUUUUCUGAAAAAUGGUAACAUAAAAAACCAAGAUAAUAAUCACUUUUUACAUUUGCAUCUUAAUUGUGUGUGUAUUUGUUCAUAUUCUAAAAUCAAGCAUAAAAUCAUUAUGCAUAUUGAUUGUUAAACCUAUUGAAAACAAUGAUUAUAUGCCCUCUCCCAACUCUAGAUUCCCUGUGUUUGAAACGGAAGAAGAGGAUGUUGAAGAGAUUCCUGAUGAGAUUUCCCAUUUGCUUGAGCACGAGGAAAAGACCAUUCAGCCUCAUAAAAAGCCAUUGGAAGUGAUUAAUUUGGGUUCUGAAGAGAACAAGAAAUAAGUCAAGAUUGGGGCACUGCUUUGUCCAAAUGUUAAGAAGAGGAUGGUAGAGAUUCUUAGAGAAUAUGUGGAUGUGUUUGCUUGGUCCUAUCAAGAUAUGUCAGGUCUUGAUACUGAUAUUGUGGAGCAUAGAUUACCAUUGAAGCCAGAGUGUCCGCUAGUUAAACAGAAGUUGAGAAGAACUCAUCCUGAUAUUGCUGUUAAGAUCAAAAGGAGGUUCAAAAGCAGUUUGAUGUUGGUUUUCUUGUUACUUCUGAGUAUCCUCAAUGGGUGGCCAACAUUAUGCUUGUUCCAAAGAAGGAUGGAAAAGUUCGGAUGUUUGUUGAUUAUAGAGAUUUGAAUAAAGCUAACCCAAAGGAUGAUUUUCCUCUGCCACACAUUGACAUGUUGGUAGAUAAUACAGCUAAGUUCAAUGUUUUCUCCUUUAUGAAUGGUUUCUCCGGUUAUAAUAAGAUCAAGAUGGCACCUGAGUACAUGGAAAAGACAACAUCUAUUACACCCUGGGGAACAUUCUACUAUAGAGUGUUGUCUUUCAAUCUAAAGAAUGCUAGUGCAAUGUACCAGAGAGCUAUGACUACUAUUUUCCAUGACAUGAUGCACAAAGAGAUAGAGGUAUAUGUCGAUGAUAUGAUUGUUAAGUUGAAGACUGAAGAAGAUCAUGUUGAGUAUUUAUUGAAGUUGUUUCAGCGUUUGAGAAAGUUUAAACUCCACUUGAAUCCUAAUAAGUGUACUCUUGGUGCCCGUUCAGGAAAGUUGUUGGGCUUCAUUGUCAGCCAGAAGGGUAUUGAGGUAGAUCAUGAUAAAGUUGGAGUUAUUCAAGAGAUUCCUACACCAAAGACAAAAAGUAAGUCAGAGGAUUCCUCUGGUGUCUGAAUUAUAUCUCUAGGUUUAUAUCUCACAUGACUGCCACAUGUGGGACAAUCUUCAAGCUUCUCCGUAAAGAUCAAGGUUGUGUUUGGACAGAAGACUUCCAAAAAGCUUUUGACAACAUCAAGGAGUGUCUACUUGAACCUCUUAUAUUGUCUCCUUCAGUGGAAGGAAAAACAUUAAUCAUGUAUUUAAUUGUGUUAGAAGAGUCCAUGGGUUGUGUACUUGGACAACAAGAUGAAUCUGGUAAAAAGAAGCAUGCCAAACGUCUACACCAGUAUAUGAUUAAUCAUACAACUUGGUUGAUAUCCAAAAUGGAUCCAAUCAAGUAAAUUUUUGAAAAGCCUGUUUUGACUGGGAAGAUUGCUCGCUGGCAAAUGCUAUUGUCUGAAUAUGAUAUUGAGUACCGUACUCAUAAGGUGAUAAAGGGAGUAUUCUUGUAGACCAUUUGGCUCAUUAGUCAAUUGAUGAUUAUCAACCCAUCAGGUUUGACUUCUCUGAUGAAGAUGUUAUAUACUUAAAAACUAAAGAUUGUGAUGAACCAUUGCCUAGAGAAGGACCUGAGCCUGGAUCCUGGUGGGGUUUAGUGUAUGAUGGAAGCUGUUAAUGCUUAUGGUAAUGGAAUUGUGGAAAUCAUCAUUACUCCUCAUGGUUUUCAUACCCCUUUCACUACAAGAUUAAUUGUUGAUUGCACGAAUAACAUGGCAGAAUAUGAAGCUUGUAUCAUGGGUCUUGAAGAAGCCAUUGAUUUAAGAGUUAAUAUUCUUGAUAUAUAUGGAGAUUUGGUGGUUAAUUAGAUUAAAGGAGAAUGGGAUACUCGUCAUCCUGGCUUUAUUCCUUACAAAGAUUAUGCAAGGAGGUUGUUGACUUUCUUCAACAAAGUUGAGUUUCAUUAUAUACCUCGUGAAGAGAAUCAGAUGGAGGAUGCUUUAGCUACUUUGUCUUCUCUGUAUAAAAUAAAUUGUUGGAAUGAUGCGUCUUAGAUCAGAAUUAUGCGCCUUGAUAGGCCCUCUCAUGUGUUUGCAGUAGAACAAGUCACUGAUGAUAAGCCUUGGUAUCAUGAUAUCAAGUGUUUCCAAAGUCAGGAGUACCCGCUUGGGGCAUCCAACAAAGAUAAAAAGACUUUGAGAAGACUGGCUGGAAAUUUCUUUCUGAAUGAAGAUGUGUUGUACAAGAAACUUUGACAUGGUCUUACUCAGAUGCGUGGAUAGACACGAAGCAACCAUGUUAAUGCAAGAAGUUCAUGAAGGAUCCUUUGGUACUCAUGUCAAUGGACAUGAAAUGGCUAAAACGAUGUUAAUGGCAGGUUACUAUUGGCUGACAAUGGAAUCUGAUUGCUAUAAAUAUGUGAAGAAGUGCCAUAAAUAUCAGAUUUAUGCUGAUAAGAUUCAUGUGCCUCUGACUCUUCUCAAUGUUAUUUCAUCCUCGUGGCCUUUCUCUAUGUGGGGAAUUGACAUGAUUGGUAUGGUUGAACCCAAAACUUCGAAUGGACAUCGUUUCAUUUUGGUGGCUAUUGAUUACUUUACCAAAUAGGUUGAAGCAACAUCUUACGCUAAUGUGACAAAUCAGGUUAUAGUCAGAUUUAUCAAGGAUCAAAUUAUUCACUGAUAUGGUGUUCCAAGUAAGACCAUCACUGAUAAUGGGUCGAACUUGAAUAAUAAGAUGAUGAAAGAGCUUUGUGACGACUUCAAGAUUGAACAUCAUAACUCUUCUCCUUACAGACCUAAGAUGAAUGAGGCUAUUAAAGCUGCAAAUAAGAAUAUUAAGAAGAUUAUCCAGAAAAUGCUUGUGACAUAUAAGGAUUGGCAUGAGAUGCUCCUUUUUGCUUUGCAUGGGUAUCGUGCAUUCGUCCAUACUUCAAUAGGGGAAACCCUUUCUCUCUUGUGUAUGGAAUGGAAGUAGUGCUCCCCGUAUAGGUUGAGAUCCCAUUAAUGCGAGUCUUGAUGGAAGCCAAACUGUCUAAAGCUGAAUGGUGUCAAAGUAGAUAUGAUCAAUUGAAUUUGAUUAAAGAGAAGAGGAUGAUAACUUUGUGUCAUGGCAAAUUAUAUUAAAAGAGAAUGAAAAAAACAUUCGACCAGACGGUCCGACCUCGCGUAUUCAGAGAAAGCGACCUCGUGCUCAAGAAGAUCUUGUCUUUUAACACUGAUUAUAGGGACAAGUGGACUCCUAAUUAUGAAGGCUCGUAUGUUGUUAAGAGAGCCUUCUCUGGAGGUGAAAUGAAGCUUACGACUAUGGAUGGUGAGGAGCUCCCUCGUCCUAUGAAUGUCGAUACUGUCAAGAAAUACUUCGCCUAGAAAAAAAUAAAAGAACAAAUUGCUAAGUUGAAAACCCGAAAGGGCGGCUUAGGAAAAAAUGAAUGUCUCAGUGGAUUGAAAACCCGAAAGGGAGGUCCAGGAAAAAAUUAGAAACAUAAAUAGAAAAUAAUUAUCCCGGUAGAUUGAACCCAAAAGGGAAAUCUAGGCAAAAGUUAAGGAUUAUGGCGAGUAACUGCAUCAGGCCAGACUUGAUCAUUUGAAGCAAUAGUGCCUAUCAAAGAUUCUCCUUCAGUCAUCCUCGACUGAAGUUUUUAGCAUAGUGAAAUUCAAAGUUGUUAAGGAGAAUAUUUGUCAUUAUAUUUCAAUGUAUCCUUUUCCAUGCACUUACCAUUUUUCAACUUUGUAAUGAUCCAUGGAGUCACACCAUUUGCGGACAACCAUUCUAUUAAUAAAAUUUGAGCCUUUUGCCCAUCUGUUUACUGUUAUUAUCUUGUUUUAGUUUACGAAAUUUCAUUUAUUUUUUAUAAUAAUUUUUGAAACAAAAGAUAUAUAAACAAUCUUGUUUUUGAAAUUUACAAAAAAUAUUUUCCUCGAUUUGUGAAUAUAAAAGAGGAAUGUCAAUAAUGAUCUAAAGGAUAGUAAGAUUUUGAAGAGCGGAGUUCGGUGUUCUCUUAAGAUAGGAUUUUCCUUAUGAAUGUAUCCAGAUUUAUCAAUUCCCACAACAGAGAUCACGCGAAUGGUAGAAUCCCCAAUGAAUUUACCAACAGGUCUUCAUAACAGAGUUUGUUCGGAUGUUUCUUGUCCCCGUCAAACCUUUCCCUCCCUCAAAAUGGAGUUCAUGAUUUUAGAAGAUUUAACUUUGGGUCUCCAAGCAAUAUCUUUUUUCUCUCUCCAAAGGAAUUUAAGCCUUGUAGCAAGAUUUGACUCCUUUGAUGGCUUAUGAUCACUCGUUGUAGGGUUGUCUUCAGUUGAACCCCUAGUAAGAUCUCUAGUAACAUCUCCGCCUUGUUGAGAUUAGCCGAGUAUCUGGUUGUAUUGUGUUAUUGAUCUACCCCUUUUGUGCCUACUUUAUCAGCAUAUUCACCCACAUAUUCAUACACAUAUGCAUAACAUCAUGAUGUUUAUUUGUGCACCUUGCAUUUCUUGGUGCAUUCCCCACUCUCUGGUGUUUUUUCUCCCUGUAGAGUGUGUGUGUCUUCUCUCCAAUAAAGUGUCGACCUUAAGCAGAAAGCAUUUACCCUUUCUAAUUCCCCAUGGAGUUUGAUCCCCGUGAAAGGUUUUGUUUCAGUUUUCCUUUCCAAUUCAUCAUCUGGAUGGAAUUAAUACCCAGUUGAGUUUAUUUCCUUAUUGGAUUGAAUCUUCUUUGAUUGUUUCUCUCUAGUUUAUUUUGGGUUGAACUUUGGUCCCUAAAUCUUAUUACAUUUGUUAAGUUAUCACUCGGCUGAUAGCUAGGUAAUAUUUCUCUUACCUUUGGUUGGUUAUCUUGUUAAGUUAUCACUUGGUUGAUAGUUGGCAAUCUUUCCUUUUGAGUUUAUUACCUUUGUUAAGCUACCACUUGGCUGAUAGUUAGGUAAUAAUUUCUUUUUACCUUUGGUUGGUUACCUUUGUUAAGCUAUCACUUGGCUGAUAGUUGGUAAUCUUUUCUUUUGAGCUUAUUAUCUAUGUUAAGUUAUCACUUGGCUAAUAGUUAGGUAAUAUUUCUUUUUAUCUUUGGUUGGUUACCUUGGUUAAGUUAUCACUUGGCUGGUAGUUGGUAAUCUUUCCUAUGGAGCUUAUUACCUUUGUUAAUCUAUCACUUGGCUAAUAGGUAGGUAACAAUUUCUUUUUACCUUUGGUUAGUUACCUUCUUAAGCUAUCACUUGGUUGGUAGUUUGGUCAUUUCCCCCCCUAGUGGAGUUUGGCAUCCCCUUUGAUUCAUCCUUUCCCCGAUGGAGUCUUACUUUGAUAAGUCUUCCCCUGUUGGGUCUUUAGAUAAUUUGUUUCCUAACUAUGCAUUGGUUUUUUUCCAAUACAAUGGUUAUUCCCGAUUCGAGUCGUUUCCCGAUGCUUUAUUUUCCUGGAGGACAUCCCUUUGCCUCCAACAAUUUUGUGUUGUAGUUUUGUUUACGCGUCUUUUCUUUUCCCCUAUGGAACUUUGUUUGUCCCCAACUGAACUUCCGCCUUUGGAAUCUGAUAUUCCCCUACAGAAUUCCAGUCUCCUCGUUUCUCCAGCAGUUCUUGGUCUCUUGUGGCGCUAUAUUCCCCACAUAGACCCUUGUCUGCAUUCAUAUCAUAUCAUAAACAUUUUUACGGUAUCUUAGGGCCAAAUUUUUUGGGUAUUUUAUAUUUAAGUUCCUUCAAUCUUGUUGAGAUGUAGAUUUCAAUCUUCAUAUCUCCUAAUUUAAGAAACUUAAAUAGGGGAAUCUUUCAUACCCUAAUUUCUCACCCUAAGAUCCUACAUAUCAUUUGCAUCCUUACAUACAAACAUGAUCACAUAUUUGUCCUCUCCCUCUCAUCUUUGAGUUUGCCUUUUGUAGGGAUUAUCAAGCACCUCUUUGUUGGUAUUUUACCUUUGUGUUUAUAUGUU